This 131-nucleotide small RNA is filed under the name Salmonella enterica. Its description in RNAcentral is "RtT sRNA". It matches the Rfam family "RtT RNA". Rfam says of the family: This family represents a bacterial cis-regulatory element known as RtT RNA. The exact function of RtT is unknown although it is thought that it may be involved in changing the cellular response in relation to amino acid starvation. The record is from RNAcentral. RNAcentral also lists the same sequence under 1 other name. Lineage: Bacteria; Pseudomonadati; Pseudomonadota; Gammaproteobacteria; Enterobacterales; Enterobacteriaceae.
AUAUCUCUCUGUACGGGAAGGAUGAGAAGCUUCGACUAAGGUUCGAUUCGAGCGCAGCGAGAAAGCGUUGCCGCAGGCAACGACCCGAAGGGCGAAGCGCGAAGCGCUGAGUAAUCCUUCCCCCACCACCA